GCAAACAGAGACAAGUCAGGGCAAAAUCGCAACACAAACAUGCGUAAAUACAAUGUCAGUUAAGCUUGACACAUGAGCUCUGUUUCAAAACACUGUGAGCUGCUUUCAUGGACAGCAUUUUAAGGCAUAAUAAGUGCAUUUCUGAUGCGAAAGAGAUCUGCAUGUGUGUUCCGAAGAUGAAUGAAAGUCUUACGGGUUUGGAACGACAUGAGGCAUUGCUAUUUCCUCACUGUCCGUGUGUGGCGGAUGCUUGCUGAGCCAUGCUGAGUCUUGUGAGCUGGUGCACCGUCAAAAGUGGUUUAUGCGGAAACUUCAGUCGUAUAUGUACUGUGCCAGCCAAUGAUAUAACCGCAACCAUUCCUGUUUCUGCCGAGGGGACUUCAGGGACAAUUUCUCUUCUUUUUAUAUAUAGAAAGUAAAAUUAUAAAAUGAUGUAAAUCGGCAAGUGUUUUUUAAUAUGGGUAUAUUGGAUGUUUUCACAUGUUUAUUUUGUGUAAUGGCCAUUAUGUGUGUGUAUGAGUCUCCACUUUUGUGUUAACUGGUGCUAGUCACCAGUGUAUAAAUUGUGUAUAUUAAGUGGUAGUUGUCUUGAGAACUGUUCCUGUAGUGCCUCGACCUCUGUGGGCAGUGACUCAUCUUUAUUGUACAAGCUUCUUUUUUUUUCUUUUUCCUUUUUUAUACUUUGGUUUUCCUCAAUUGGGUUGCCAUUGCUUUGCUUUUUGUAACUUAUAUGCUUGGGAAAUAAACCCCUAAAGUGUUUGCAGUAGCCUGCUGCCUCAGUGUUUUUUUCUCCUUCACUGGUCACAUCUAUCACACCGUGACCCUAUCGAAACAGAACAGAUAGAAAAUGAAAAGUACUGUGUAAAUGAAAAAAACACUCUAUCAUGGUUAUAUUGCUAUCGCUGUGCUUGUCUGUGCCAAAUCCAUCAAUCACUAGCAGGCCAACCAAGAUGUCUGCAUCUGCAACUUUAGACUCUAAAUAUUUACAGAUGUCCACUCAAAGCCAGCGCAAAGACAAAUCAAUGAGAGUACACACCACAGAACCAAUUUAUAAAAAUACAGACUGCAAAAUCUAAAACCAACAGCCUAAAGGCCUUUGCACACUGAGUCCAAAAUUUCCGUAUGCGUUUUUUCGUAUUCGUGAUCCUAAAAAUUCGUCACGCACAGAGACCUUGCGUCCGAUGCGUAUUAAUGAAUCCGUUGCAAAAAAAAACACUUUGUUUGUCAUACCAUGCUGCUGCUUUGUGCUGUAGACAACGUGGAUCAACUUGUCAGAUGGCAUUCGGGAUUUUGGCGUUCGCUUGUACGGUGGCUCUGAAUUGUCAAAACGUCUCUCAAAAUGCAUGCCACGGAUGCAAAAAAUGCAGAAAAUCGAACCUGAUCCGAAUUUUUUUAAUGACGGAUGAAAGUUUCGGAGGCAGUGUGUAAACAUGAGGUUGUAUUUAUUUUUUAACAUGCGAAAAUUUCGGAUGCGAAUUUCGGACUCAGUGUACAAAGGCACGGUUACCAGCCUAGAUCUUUAAGUCCAUCUAAAAGCAGUUUUAUAUAAUGAGAUGUUUAAACCAUAAAAGGAAACUUUUCUCAGCUUUAAUAUUUCACCUUGCUCACAGCCAAUACCUCCACAUACCCUAUGUAUAAUUCAUCAAAAAAGCCUUUCAACAUUAAAACCAUCUGAGCACGUCAGGAUGGCAUCUCCCUCAGGGAUAUAUAUAUACAAGCCUGCAGCGUAAAUCAUCAUCGCUGAACCCACGGAACGGCUCGUGGAGCCAUCUGUGUUGAUUUUGAGUGAUUGUGCAAGGCAACUCUUUUGAAGCUGGACCAGCAAGCUCCCCUAGGACAAUUCAGAAAACAGCCAUCACUGUGAGAUCUCUCUCACACAUAAAACACACUGUUCCCUAACAGGUUCAACCAACAAGAUAAACAGCAGCCCAUAUGUAUGAAAAGGGAAAGAACAAGAGAAACCCAGCUCGCAUGAGGCUCAUUUGGAUAUGAAAGGCAUAUCGGUCUAUAAUUGGUCUAUCACCACACUGGCUUCAGCCUAAUGACAGAGCGUGGAUGAUCUCAUCACAGCCGAUGGAAAGCCGUGGAAUAAAUCAAAUAAAAAGUGCUUGUGUUUAAAACUGGUCUUGACGGUAAGCUGUACUAACCUGUUCAAUGAAAACAGACACUUCAAAGUUCUUAGUCAUGUUUACUUGUGUGUUUUGUAUCCCGAGGGAACACUCACUGAAAACAUCUUAGACAACCUUGACUAAAAAAUAAAAUAGAUAAUCCAAUACUGAUUUUUAAGUCCAAUACUAAUAUACAUUAUUUUUGAUAGGGUCUCAAAAUUACAAAUAAUGGGUAUGACCAAUCAAUCCACACUUUUUAAGUUAAACUGUUAUUGGUUCCACAGAAAAAAAAAAAAAUGGCAACAUUUGAGAGAAUAGCUCCCAACGACAGCAGUAAAAAUGUGAAAAAUGUGCAGUUUAGCCAUUAGACAUAGCCAUAAAAAAGUAAUUAAGAUAAAAAAAACUUCUGUCUAUAAAGAUCGAAAAUACCUUUGCAUAAGUAAUAUUAUAAAUAUUACAACUAAUAAUUAUCAUUACUUUAUUAUUAAUAAGUAAAAUAUUUAUAAUACAUAUUGUGU
Ctenopharyngodon idella (grass carp) is the source of this 2626-nucleotide long non-coding RNA. RefSeq lists it as uncharacterized. The record is from RefSeq and is a predicted model, not a curated record. NCBI's taxonomy places the organism in Eukaryota, Metazoa, Chordata, Actinopteri, Cypriniformes, Xenocyprididae. The transcript is spliced from 3 exons.